AUCCAGCUGACGAGUGACAACUAGGACGAAACGACCGUCCUGGAC
This 45-nucleotide non-coding RNA is filed under the name Schistosoma margrebowiei. The record is from RNAcentral. Lineage: Eukaryota; Metazoa; Platyhelminthes; Trematoda; Strigeidida; Schistosomatidae.